RNAcentral lists this unclassified non-coding RNA (362 nucleotides) under uncultured Pezizella. RNAcentral describes it as "sequence contains ITS2". The stretch from base 1 to 154 matches the Rfam family "5.8S ribosomal RNA". The record is from RNAcentral. Lineage: Eukaryota; Fungi; Ascomycota; Leotiomycetes; Helotiales; Hyaloscyphaceae.
AACUUUUAGCAAUGGAUCACUUGGUUGUGGCAUCUAUGAAGAACGCAGCGAAAUGCGAUAAUUAAUGUGAAUUGCAGAAUUUAGUGAAUCAUCGAAUCUUUGAACGCACAUUGCGCCCCUUGGUUUUCCGGGGGGCGUGCCUGUUCGAGCGUCAUUUCAACCCUCAAGCUCUGCUUGGUCUUGGGCCGCGCCGGCAACGGCGGGCCUCAAAAACAGUGGCGGCGCCAUCUGGUCCCUCAGCGUAGUAAUUCUUCUCGCUGCUGGGCCCCGGUGGCGGCUUGCCAACAACCCCCAAUUUUUAUGGUUGACCUCGGAUCAGGUAGGGAUACCCGCUGAACUUAAGCAUAUCAAUAAGCGGAGGC